RNAcentral lists this ribosomal RNA (722 nucleotides) under Fusarium verticillioides. Its description in RNAcentral is "eukaryotic LSU rRNA". The stretch from base 1 to 193 matches the Rfam family "Eukaryotic small subunit ribosomal RNA", at positions 1641 to 1831 of the family's 1831-position model. Lineage: Eukaryota; Fungi; Ascomycota; Sordariomycetes; Hypocreales; Nectriaceae. The record is from RNAcentral.
UUGGAUACGUCCCUGCCCUUUGUACACACCGCCCGUCGCUACUACCGAUUGAAUGGCUCAGUGAGGCGUCCGGACUGGCCCAGAGAGGUGGGCAACUACCACUCAGGGCCGGAAAGCUCUCCAAACUCGGUCAUUUAGAGGAAGUAAAAGUCGUAACAAGGUCUCCGUUGGUGAACCAGCGGAGGGAUCAUUACCGAGUUUACAACUCCCAAACCCCUGUGAACAUACCACUUGUUGCCUCGGCGGAUCAGCCCGCUCCCGGUAAAACGGGACGGCCCGCCAGAGGACCCCUAAACUCUGUUUCUAUAUGUAACUUCUGAGUAAAACCAUAAAUAAAUCAAAACUUUCAACAACGGAUCUCUUGGUUCUGGCAUCGAUGAAGAACGCAGCAAAAUGCGAUAAGUAAUGUGAAUUGCAGAAUUCAGUGAAUCAUCGAAUCUUUGAACGCACAUUGCGCCCGCCAGUAUUCUGGCGGGCAUGCCUGUUCGAGCGUCAUUUCAACCCUCAAGCCCUCGGGUUUGGUGUUGGGGAUCGGCGAGCCCUUGCGGCAAGCCGGCCCCGAAAUCUAGUGGCGGUCUCGCUGCAGCCUCCAUUGCGUAGUAGUAAAACCCUCGCAACUGGAACGCGGCGCGGCCAAGCCGUUAAACCCCCAACUUCUGAAUGUUGACCUCGGAUCAGGUAGGAAUACCCGCUGAACUUAAGCAUAUCAAUAAGCGGAGGAA